RNAcentral lists this ribosomal RNA (720 nucleotides) under uncultured Acidobacteriota bacterium. RNAcentral's name for it is "bacterial SSU rRNA". It matches the Rfam family "Bacterial small subunit ribosomal RNA", at positions 8 to 760 of the family's 1533-position model. Lineage: Bacteria; Pseudomonadati; Acidobacteriota. The record is from RNAcentral.
AGAGUUUGAUCCUGGCUCAGAAUCAACGCUGGCGGCGCGCCUAACACAUGCAAGUCGAACGAGAAAGGGGAGCAAUCCCUGAGUACAGUGGCGUACGGGUGAGUAACACGUGGAUGAUCUACCCCUUAGUUUGGAAUAACCCUGGGAAACCGGGGCUAAUACCGGAUAAGCUCGAGAGAGGAAAGCAGCAAUGCGCUGAGGGAGGAGUCCGCGGCCGAUUAGCUAGUUGGUGAGGUAAAGGCUCACCAAGGCAAAGAUCGGUAGCCGGCCUGAAAGGGCACACGGCCACACUGGCACUGAAACACGGGCCAGACUCCUACGGGAGGCAGCAGUGGGGAAUCUUGCACAAUGGGGGAAACCCUGAUGCAGCGACGCCGCGUGAGCGAUGAAGCCCUUCGGGGUGUAAAGCUCUUUCGGCAGGGAAGAUAGUGACGGUACCUGCAGAAGCAGCUGCGGCUAACUACGUGCCAGCAGCCGCGGUAAUACGUAGGCAGCAAGCGUUGUUCGGAGUUACUGGGCGUAAAGGGUGUGUAGGCGGUUGUUUAAGUUUGGUGUGAAAUCUCCCGGCUCAACUGGGAGGGUGCGCCGAAUACUGAAUGACUCGAGUGCGGGAGAGGAAAGUGGAAUUCCUGGUGUAGCGGUGAAAUGCGUAGAUAUCAGGAGGAACACCGGUGGUGUAGACGGCUUUCUGGACCGUAACUGACGCUGAGACACGAAAGC